Bos taurus (domestic cattle) is the source of this 1861-nucleotide long non-coding RNA. The record is from Ensembl. NCBI's taxonomy places the organism in Eukaryota, Metazoa, Chordata, Mammalia, Artiodactyla, Bovidae.
GUGGGGGCGAGUGAAAGUGGUUUUGGGGGCAGUUCGUGCGAGUCGGCCCCCCACGUUGAGAAUGCCCUGAAGUUUGUCUCCUGGUCAAGUUCAAUAGCGACUGUCUGGCUAUGUCUGGAAGCCCAGUGAUUUGCAUUGCUUGAAACUGGGUGUUCGGCUAAGUCCCCUCGGCACCCCCACCUCACCCUCCCGACCGUGGGAGAAAGGGUGCGGGCGUUCGCAUCUUUGCCUCGGAAAGGUUUCUUACAGGAGGUGGAUUUAGGGGGCAACUCGCGUCUAGUUGUGAACGAGCGUUUAGGGAAUCCGAAACUCGGGGAACCCUGGUGAUAGUCUACUCCCCGCCCCCGCACAACAUGCAUAGACACACUGCACAUCACAUGUACACACAAACACACACACGCACACGCCACUCCUCCCGCCCCGAUUUGCUUCCGGGAAAACAAGUCCGAGAGCAGCAGACACUUGCCAAAAGUCACGCAGCGAGGAUCCUCAGAGCUGGGGCUGAUAAGCCUACUGAAUACUGCUGAUAGGACCUCAUUGGAAACAUUUGUGGACAUAAAAUUGUGAUCAAUCCGUGAGAUCUCAGAGAAGGUCAGCCAAAUGUUGUGAUUGCACCUGCUGUACAUCAUCGGAUCCUCAGAGUGGUUGUCUGAGCAAGAUAAAGAAAGUGGAGUUAUGCACUCCAGAAAUUAUGCAAAUCAUCCAGUGGCACAAAAUUCCUAUCAGAACCGCUUUUACUGCCUCCCCCGGCGACGUUCCCGGCCCGCCAACGUUUCUUUCGUCCUUACAAGGCCAGCUUCCACCCGCUGCUUUUGUGUAAAUAAAGCCUGGCCUUCUGCCUGCAGGUUGCCGCCAGAAGCCGGCCGGUGGGGGAAGGGUUCGGAACCGGUACGACCGCCUCAGCCGCGCCGGGAGAGGCCGAGAGUCCGCCACGCUCAGCCGUCGCGCGGGGGCGGUACUCCGGGCCCCCCAGGAUGAGCCGAGCCGAGAAACCCAGCACGAGAAAGUCCCCACCCACCUGCACCCUCUUCCGUGGGUCACCCCGCGCGUGGCAGGCCCUUGACAAAUAUCGUCCUGAAUUCUCCCCGCGAUCCUGGGAGUAUCCUCCCCAUUUUAUAGACGAGAGACUGAGGCUUACCAAGUGUAAGGGGCUUGACCGAGGUCCCAUAGGCGAAAAAAGUGGCAAACCAAGAACUUCUAACCGAAUAUAUCUGGCUGCAAAAUCCAGUCUUCUCCCAUCCCGCCGGUCACCAGUGAGACUGUAAAGGUCUUAAAGGAGAAGAAUAAAAAAAAAAAUAACCACACGAAUCAGAUUAACAGAUCGUAAGGAAUUGAAAGGGCCUUCCAGAGCUGCUGGUAUUUCAAACAAGUGGACUCGAACCACAGGAUAAGUAACAAACUACUUUUCCUGGGUGACCAAUCAUACUUUUUUUUUAAUUAAAAAUAUAUUUAUUAAAAUAGAUUACGAUGGAGAAGAAUAUAAUUUUCAAAAUAAUGAUAGCUGAAAACAGAAGACUUAAAAGAAAUGUCAGGCUGUUUCCACCUCGCACACCUUUCGUUCGAUUGCACACACAUUCUUGACAUCAAGUACAUAAACAGGCAAACUGAGGCCCGAAACCAGUCCCACUGAGAGCGAGAGGCCGAGUGGGAGGAGAACCGAGAUUUCCGGGCUCUCGGCCUGGGGUGCUUUCGGCUGGGGGCGGGGGUCCUGUUUGUAAACAGGUGUCCUCGGACAGCCACUGCCGAUUUUUGUCACUCUGCCAACCGGAGGGACGAUUCUGAGUAAUCGCUAGCAGUCAGCGCAGCUGGGGCUAAAAGCGAAAGGGACGCGCGCGCGACGGGCCCGGGAGGGCGACGGGUA